UAACGAAUAUUCCGCAAUGCGCGAAAGCGUGACGGAGCAAUGCCGCGUGCAGGAUGAAGCGGUUUCGCCGUGUAAACUGCUGUCAGGAGUUACUAACACUGAAGAACUCCAGAGGAAGGACCGGCUAAUCUCGUGCCAGCAGCCGCGGUAAUACGAGAGGUCCAAGCGUUAGUCGGAAUCACUGGGCUUAAAGGGUGCGUAGGCGGGCCAGUAAGUGUCUCGUGAAAUCCCAUGGCUCAACCAUGGAACCGCGGGGCAUACUGCUGGUCUUGAGGAAGCUAGAGGCUGGUGGAACGAUAGGUGGAGCGGUGGAAUGCGUAGAUAUCUAUCGGAACGCCGAAGGUGAAGACAGCCAGCUGGGGCUUUCCUGACGCUCAGGCACGAAAGCGUGGGGAUCAAACAGGAUUAGAUACCCGCGUAGUCC
RNAcentral lists this ribosomal RNA (424 nucleotides) under uncultured bacterium. RNAcentral describes it as "bacterial SSU rRNA". It matches the Rfam family "Bacterial small subunit ribosomal RNA", at positions 355 to 796 of the family's 1533-position model. The record is from RNAcentral.